Molecule: ribosomal RNA, 782 nt
Filed under: uncultured Actinomycetes bacterium
Lineage: Bacteria; Bacillati; Actinomycetota; Actinomycetes
Description: SSU rRNA
Rfam family: Bacterial small subunit ribosomal RNA
Source: RNAcentral
CGCACUCGACCUUCGGGUCACAUGAGUGAGUGGCGAACGGGUGAGUAACACGUGAGAAACCUGCCCCGAAGACUGGAAUAACCCGAGGAAACUCGGGCUAAUACCGGAUAUCCCCACCGGGUCGCAUGGCCAGGUGAGGAAAUGCUCAGGCGCUUCGGGAGGGUCUCGCGGCCUAUCAGCUAGUUGGUGAGGUAACGGCUCACCAAGGCAACGACGGGUAGCUGGUCUGAGAGGACGAUCAGCCACACUGGGACUGAGACACGGCCCAGACUCCUACGGGAGGCAGCAGUGGGGAAUCUUGCGCAAUGGGCGAAAGCCUGACGCAGCCACGCCGCGUGAGGGAUGAAGGCUUUCGGGUUGUAAACCUCUUUCAGCAGGGACGAAAAUGACGGUACCUGCAGAAGAAGCUCCGGCCAACUACGUGCCAGCAGCCGCGGUAACACGUAGGGAGCAAGCGUUGUCCGGAUUUAUUGGGCGUAAAGAGCUCGUAGGCGGUUCGGUAAGUCGGGUGUGAAAACUUGAGGCUCAACCUCAAGAGGCCACUCGAUACUGCUGUGACUGGAGUCCGGUAGAGGAGUGUGGAAUUCCUGGUGUAGCGGUGAAAUGCGCAGAUAUCAGGAGGAACACCGACAGCGAAGGCAGCACUCUGGGCCGGUACUGACGCUGAGGAGCGAAAGCAUGGGGAGCAAACAGGAUUAGAUACCCUGGUAGUCCAUGCCGUAAACGUUGGGCACUAGGUGUGGGGUCUAGCUAACAGAUUCCGUGCCGCAGCUAACGCAUAA